Molecule: ribosomal RNA, 491 nt
Filed under: uncultured bacterium
Lineage: Bacteria
Description: partial 16S ribosomal RNA
Rfam family: Bacterial small subunit ribosomal RNA
Source: RNAcentral
AGUGAACGCUGGCGGUAGGCCUAACACAUGCAAGUCGAACGGCAGCACAGUAAGAGCUUGCUCUUACGGGUGGCGAGUGGCGGACGGGUGAGGAAUACAUCGGAAUCUACUUUUUCGUGGGGGAUAACGUAGGGAAACUUACGCUAAUACCGCAUACGACCUACGGGUGAAAGCAGGGGAUCUUCGGACCUUGCGCGAUUGAAUGAGCCGAUGUCGGAUUAGCUAGUUGGCGGGGUAAAGGCCCACCAAGGCGACGAUCCGUAGCUGGUCUGAGAGGAUGAUCAGCCACACUGGAACUGAGACACGGUCCAGACUCCUACGGGAGGCAGCAGGGGGGAAUAUUGGACAAGGGGCGCAAGCCUGAUCCAGCCAUACCGCGUGGGUGAAGAAGGCCUGCGGGUUGUAAAGCCCUUUUGUUGGGAAAGAAAAGCAGCAGGUUAAUACCCCGCUGUUCGGACGGUACCCAAAGAAUAAGCACCGGCUAACUUCGG